AGUGGGCGGGGUUUUACCGAAUAGACCUGUCAGCACUUAAGCCAAUGGCAGAGAACACCGUACAUGAUCGAGUGGAUUUCUAAGCCGCCACUUACUUUGACCGCUCACUCUGUCUCUCCAUCACAAUGAACUCAAAUCCACUAUUCUUCUAAAUUAUCUCUCAUUGUUUUUAUGUUUGUCCAUCCUUUGUUAGUUGAGUGGUAUUCCUGAGGACUGUGUCGAAAACAGUCAUCACUGUCAAAGUGAGAGAGGAGCCAGACAGAGUCCCUCAGCUGAAGCGUUUAGUAACAACGAGGAAACAGCACCGGUACAGUGUGUUUUUCACAAAGGUGGAUUAUGGAGAAGUUGCCUAUUCAAUUCUAAAACAAUUUCCAGACUAGAUGGACGUGCACAAAUCUGUCGGGAUGCUUGAAGAGUCAUAGCGAGGAAAGUAAUCACACUCCUCAGUAAAGGCCCUAAUGGAGAAUGAGACCUCCAUCUCCUCGGGAUACAUCCCACAUUACCUCCUUCGAGGGGAUCCCUUUGCCUCCAAGUUGUCCAAGGAGGCAGACAUAGUGGCAGCAUUCUACAUCCUUGUCAUCGGUAUCUUGUCAGCCACUGGAAAUGGCUAUGUCAUGUACAUGACCUUCAAGCGAAAAACAAAGUUAAAGCCACCAGAGAUCAUGACACUCAAUCUAGCUAUAUUCGACUUUGGCAUAUCAGUGAGUGGAAAACCGUUCUUCAUAGUGUCUAGUUUUUCUCACCGCUGGCUGUUCGGCUGGCAGGGCUGCCGGUACUAUGGCUGGGCCGGAUUCUUCUUUGGAUGUGGAAGUCUGAUUACUAUGACUGUUGUCAGCUUUGACCGCUACUUGAAAAUUUGUCAUUUAAGAUAUGGCACUUGGUUGAAGCGUCAUCAUGCUUUCCUCUCGGUGGUUUUCAUUUGGGCUUAUGCUGCAUUCUGGGCCACCAUGCCAGUGGUGGGCUGGGGUAACUACGCACCUGAGCCGUUUGGCACCUCUUGCACACUGGACUGGUGGUUGACACAGGCCUCAGUGUCUGGCCAGAGCUUUGUGAUGUGCAUGCUGUUCUUCUGUCUCAUCUUCCCCACCGUCAUCAUCGUCUUCUCCUACGUCAUGAUCAUCUUCAAGGUGAAAUCCUCAGCCAAAGAAGUCUCUCACUUCGACACACGAAAUAAGAACAACCACAGUCUAGAGAUGAAGCUGACUAAGGUGGCGAUGUUGAUCUGUGCAGGGUUUUUGAUAGCCUGGAUCCCGUAUGCUGUGGUGUCAGUGAUGUCUGCUUUUGGAGAGCCUGAUUCAGUGCCUAUUCCUGUCUCUGUUGUGCCAACUUUGCUGGCCAAAUCCUCUGCCAUGUACAAUCCGAUCAUAUAUCAGGUCAUUGACUGUAAAAAGAAGUGUGUAAAAUCAUGCUGUUUUCAAGCUUGGAGAAAAAAGAAACCAUCCAAGACCUCAAGGUUCUACACCAUCUCUGGCUCCAUCAAACAGAGACCAGGCGAUGAAGCUUCUAUUGAGAUAUGACAGGAACUCACAAUGGGCCUGUGAUUGGACACUGGGCAAUUUGCAGCUGUGCAAAUUAGACAGACAAUUCAUACCCGCUAGCUGUGCUUUUGUAUCCUACUGCCAUCAUCUUAUCAGCAGUGUGUAUAAAAGAAUUAUGUGAUGCUUUGAUGUGGUUGUGACAGAGAGGUGGCGUCCCCGUUUGCAGGAAGUGGAGAAGCUCUGGACGCCUCACUGCCUGCCUUCUGUUGUCCUUGUCAUAAUGCAGUUUACAGCAUGCAGGAGCCAGAAUAACAACCUUGUCUCUCACAACAGACCAUACGCUAAAACCCUUCCUUUUCACCUCUCGUGCUCUCGCUUUUUUUUUCCGACACGUGAAACUUGAACACUUAGGUAGCUUUUUAAUCGGCUUGAUCAACUGUAUAUUAUUGCAUUGUAAUGUUUUGAAGCAUGUCAAAUGUGAAAAGUAAUGAAACCAAAGGUAAACCAGUCAUGUUUUUGUAUUAUUUAUGCAGAAGGGGUACACAGCUCUUCAAUUUCCAUACAAAAAUCUGAUAGAUGGAAAAAAUUCAAAUGACACAUGACACACAAGUUACACAUGAAUGUUUUAUGUACAAAUAUGUUUAAAUAUAUAUAAUUACACUUGAUUUCUAUUAUUGGCCAUGUAUGAACUCAAAUAUAACAUCAUAGCUAAUAUAUCUGAACAUAUAUCUACAUAAUUAUAAAUAUAGUGGUUGAAACAAAUAUAUUAAACUGACAUUAUGCAAUAUUUUGAAAUAUAUGUUUUAUAAAUUACAUAUUUUAGACGUAAAAUCCAAAUAUGAACUUGUAUUUCGAACCUCACAAAAGUCUUGUAGCCUAUCCAAGUUGUAGGAACAACAAAUAAUAACUUGAAUUUUAGUUGAUCAUUUGGUAUCAGAAGUGACUUAUAUGAAAGGCAAAGCCCUCUAGAUUUUACUCAAAUACAAUUAUUUGUAUAGGACAGUAAGGUCUGACUUUGCUUAGACAAAAGUCUUGUCACUUAACAGAAAUGAUGUACAGCAUAGACUAUAAAAAUCAUGCUUGAGUAGAAAAGGAAUUAAUAUUGUGUAUGACUCCCAUGAGCUUGGAGGACUGCAUCCAUACAUCUCUGCAAUGACUCAAAUAACUUGUUAAUAAGUCAUCUGGAAUGGCAAAGAAAGCGUCUUGCAGGACUCCUAGAGUUCAUCAAGAUUCUUCAGAUUAAUCUUCAAUGCCUCCUCCAUCUUACCCUAGGCAUUCUCAAUAGUGUUUAUUUCUGGGGACUGGGCUGGCCAAUCCUAGAGCACCUUGACCUUGCUUUCAGGCUGACUUAUGCUGAAAUAUGAGGAGCGAUAUUCUGCUGAAGAUUUUGCCCUCUUCUGUGGUUUGUAAUGUAAUGGGCAGCACAAAUGUCUUGAUCCCUCGGGCUGCUGAUGUUGCUAUCCACUCUGCAGAUCUCUCGCACUCCCCCAUACUGAAUGUUACCCCAAACUAUGAUUUUUCCUUUACCAAACUUGACUGAUUUCUGAGAAAGUCUUGGGUCCAUGCGAGUUCCAAUAGGUCUGAUGCAGUAUUUGUAAGAAUUGGGAUGCAGUUCAACAGAAGAUUCAUCUGAAAAAAUCUACCUUCUGUCACUUUUCCAAAUUAUCAACUAAGUCAAGUUAUUAUUUUUUGCUCUUACAACUUUUUUUGAAUUGAUAAGUUGAUAAGAUAUACAGUAUGUUGCAUACAUUGCCAUAUGUGUGUGUGUGUGUGUGUGUGUGUGUGUGUGUGUAUAUAUAUAUAUAUAUAUAUAUAUAUUUCUGUGGCAAUCUGAUCUGACAGGCUUGUUGAUGAAUAAGACAGAUGUAACCUAACAAAAAAGCUUUUAAAGAAGCUAGAUUUCCUGAAAUCGGCGUUAAAUGAAUAUACUAUUUUAAUAUGAAUAACAUUUUUGCAUCACUUGUUAAACCUAAGAAAAUGAUUUUCCCUAAUGGUCCCAGAAAGCACUUAGAAGCAGCUAGAAAAUGCCUGGCCAUGUGAAUUGAUGUGAAAUGGAGUGGGCUGGAGUGUUUUAAAUCUAAAUGAUGAUCUGAGAGUGCAAAUAAAGCUGGCAGAUUGAAGGAUGCUUACUGAAGGUUGCAUUUUACAGAAAUGUUGGACACAAUAUUUGUAUAUAUUCUCUCAGCUAUUUUUAAAGUAUCGUUACUGCAGUAAUGCCCAUCAUAACAGCCACUGUUGAUCUAGUGGAUUCAGCUUCAAAAUGCCAUUGCACUGGUCAGCUUAUAUUAUACACUGAUUCAGGCAGAUGUCUUGAUCUAUAUAAGUUUUUUUCAAUAUUCCAUUCAAAUUUAUUUCUAUAAUCCAAAUAAUCACAUCAUUAUAUCAGAAUGUACCAAUAUAAGACAUUUAGUAUAUUGCUUCAGUAUAUAGCCAUAUCUUAUGUGUUAGUACGUUGAUCCAUUAUUUACAAUCGUCAUGUACUUUUCAAACUCAUUUUGAGUAGUUGUUACUGUAAAAGUCAUUAGCAAUAUGGUAAACAGGGUUUUAACUAUUGUUUUCUACAGGUCGGAAUGUGUCUCUGUUACUAUGCUGUUUUCAUAAUUUACUGAAACUUGCAAAGGAUAUCUACUGAACAAUACCAAAUUAAAUUAGCAACAAAUUGUGCUCAUGAAAUGUUCUCACUGUGUGUUGACGCUUUAAGUUUACAACUGCCAUAAAAAAUAGCAUCUAAACAGUUCAUUAUUUUGUGCUUUUACUGUUUGUUCUGUAUAUCUGUAUCUCUGUAAAAGGAAUGUAAUGUAAAAUUUCAUCUACAUUAACAAAUCAAAACAGUGAAUAAAAUAUUUUGUCACAUGCAAAUAGUAAAAAAA
Molecule: non-coding RNA, 4348 nt
Organism: Danio rerio (zebrafish)
Lineage: Eukaryota; Metazoa; Chordata; Actinopteri; Cypriniformes; Danionidae
Source: RefSeq, a predicted model, not a curated record